Molecule: long non-coding RNA, 6946 nt
Filed under: Daucus carota (carrot)
Lineage: Eukaryota; Viridiplantae; Streptophyta; Magnoliopsida; Apiales; Apiaceae
Description: long non-coding RNA (DCAR_LNC006471)
Source: RNAcentral
AGAAAAUGGUGUCUUUAGGAGUGCCCAAGCGUACCAAGAUUAUAUGAUGCAGCUGCCAAUCCCAACCAAACGUGGUGCUAUCAUUCCAUUUACCUCGUGGAGUGGAUUUGGUGAUUCUACGAAACAACUAUACAAUCAGCCUCUGCAUUACCUCACAAAUGUCUACCUGAAGCAGCUGGAUCGAAACAGGAUUGGUGCUGAUGAUGCGAACGAAAGACUUGAUACUAUUAUUCAUCCAGCCAAAGCUGAAGUUUUCCUCUGGAUGACGGAACAAACUCACAGGCUCACUACUUCUCCACAUCAGCUGGCUACACUCUGGCAAAAAGACCCCAUGUACAAGGCUGAUAUCGAUGCCUGUGCCCCUCUCUCUACUAAUCCAAUUUAGGGGUCUUUCAAUAGGAAGGAUCAGAUUCUAGCAUUCCCUGAACACUGCAAGGGUGUAAUGAUAAUCUCCUGAUCGUAUCUUGUAAAACUUUUUAUUUCCUUUACCAUCUAUGUAGGGCGUUCUCUGGAAUGGACUGAAUGAUCUGUAAACAAUCCGAGAGCUUAGCUAUUGACAAAGUAUCAAACAGGAUUAUUUACAUGCUACCAAUAAUUACUGCAAGAGCAAAUUCCAUGCUCGAAAACGUGAAAUCGGUGGUUAUCUCGAUUAAUAAUUUUACGGUCAUAUAUCUCUGACACUAACUUUGCAUAAGAAUGACAGUCAGAACAGAUUCUGAGAUUCUUGAUUACACGUAUGGGCGUUCCAUAGCUUGUACUUAUGAGUCCAAAGCCUAAGGCCAGUUUUUCACUGUGUCUACUUAGCAAUGUAUCCUUUUCUUGCUCAUCGACAUCUAACAAGACACUUUUAAGGUCAGGAACAAAGCCCACAUCUCUGAGUCUGUAGUUCACUUCUUCCAGCAUUGGGAGAAUAAGAUCUGUAACUAAAUGAGACUGAUCACCUGAAGUGAACUCAUGAAUGGCGCCAUUAUAAUUUUGAACAACUCAAAGAUGAACGAACACGAUGAAAAAUUGGACAAGACAAAAUAACGGAAUUGAUGCUGCGAUCCAAUAUUACCAUAUUGUACUGUCAGUUUGAAAGAAUAACAAUUGAGUUCUUCAUUCAAUAAGAAUAUAAGAAUACAACUGAAUUCUUCAUUCAAGAAGAAUCCAUAUUGUAGUAUCUUCAAAUUAAAUAGAGCUCGUAGGAGUCAAACCCAUGUCAUUUUGAUAUAGACCAAUGCCUCAACCAUGGGGAAAAGUCAUACUUCGUCAAGUUUAUAUAACAGGAAUAUUAAACUACUCACAAGCUAUUUAGGGCAAGUACCCAGUGUGCCUCCAUCCCUGACUAGCGUCACGAGAACUUCAAACAUAAGUUCACUUGUUCUUGUCUUUGUGGUUGAGGUCACAAUUUAAUUUAGCAAAUUCGAAAAGAACUUGUUAGCACACAUUUAUCUUCUCAUAUUUAUUAUAUUUCUUAAUCCCAUCAUCCGCCCAUCCCGACUACACGUCAACCAUCUAUACAUAUAUGUAAUUUUAUAAAAUAUAUUUCUUAAUCACGUCAUCCGCCCACCCCGAUUUACCCUACUUCAAAUCUACCUUUUGCCUCCUUUAAUGAAUCAUUUUUCUUUAUCGUCAGAAUUUUACCGGAUUUUUCUUCUUCUCCGAUUUUGUUUACCACCAAGUCAUAUCUUAUUUUAUUAUCAUCAUCAUGGAUCUAGUCAUAUAUCAAAUAUAUGCGAUAGAGAUGAUAUGAUGGUUGUUACAAUCAGUGGCGGACCCAGAAUAUUAUUUUAGUGGGUUCCCAAAAUAAAAAGAUGCAAUAAUAAUUAUAAAUAGUAAAUAUCAGAAAUAUUUUACACUUUCUGUCAAAAAAAAAUAUAUUCUACACUUUAAAAUUGUUUCCUAUAGUGUUUUCAUCAGAAGUUCAAGUGGGUUUAAAAAGAUUCACCAGGAGAGUUCAAGAGAAGUUAAUUUUUUAAAACCCUACCGAGAGGAUCAAAAUUCAAAGGGAUAGAGCACGAACAGCAAGACAGUAAAUUCUAUUAUAAUUUUUAAACAUGGUAAACUACUACUACAACCUUUUCUUUUGUGUUGUGUAUUGGGCCGUGUAAUUUUCUUUGGGCUUCUUUAUAUUAGAGGGUUCCUCGUUAAUAUGAUAGCGGAUUCCAAAAAUAAAUUCACGGUAACAUAUUCCUUAAGCCCAGGCCCAAGUGGGUUCUUGUCCGCCCGUGGUUACAAUUGUAGGCGUAGUAGAUGUUGAAUGUCUUUCAUCAUCAUCAUAGAUCUAGUCAUAUAUCAAAUAUAUGCGAUAGAGAUGAUAUGAUGGUUGUUACAAUUGUAAGCGUAGUAGAUGUUGAAUGUCGGCUCAGCACAACCUAUAUAAUUAAUGAUGGUAAUUUAAUGAUCAAUACACACAUUUAUUAGCAUUGAGUUUUGUUGAUUUUGGUAAUAUGUAUUUGUGAUUCUAUAAUAUAUUAAUGAUUUUUGAUACAUAUAUUAGUGAUCUCGUGUGAAUUGGUUACACUCAUAUGAAUUUGAAAUUGACAUAUUGAGAUGUUGAUGAUGUUUCUGUUAGUGAUUGUGGUGAAAUAAUUAUGACAUUGAAAAUUAAAUAUAUGAUAAUAUAGUAUUUAAGUUGAUGGAUUUAAUAAGAUAAAUGUCAUGUAAAUAAAUUAUAAAUAUUAUUCAAUAUCUUUUUUGGUUAGACCAUUGAAAUGAAUAUUUAUCCAUUCAACAAAUUUUUUUAUGCUGAACGAAUAAAAUGUACUCCCUCCAUCUCCCUAAAUUAUAUGUAUUGAGGACCAGGCGCGGCGCACAUUUUAAUACUCUUAUAAAAUAUAAUUUAUAAUUUAUUUUUAAGAUUUUUUUCCUGAAUAAAAAUUUAACAUUCAAUUUUUUAUUCAAAAAAAAUUUAAAAAAAAAUUAAAACUAUACUUUAUAGAAGUAUUAAAGUGUAUGUCAAGUGAAAAAACGUGUAGAAAUGAGUGGAACAGAGAAAAUACAUUAUACUUAUUUAAUGAGAAAAAAAGGCUGAACAUGUUAGAAUUUUAUUAUAAUCCUAUAACCGUGAAUACAUCAUCCAAAAAUUAUAAAAUAAAAAGUUAAAUAAACCCAUCCCAACAUACACACAUCAGGAGUUACACCCAUAAAUGUAUAAUAUUACUGAGAUUAUAUAUUGUACACAAUAUUUUUAGAAUCUUUAUUAUUUAAUUAUUUUAAGAGUUAUUCAUUUUCUCAACUCGUAAUGAGAACAAAAAAAAUAUUAUUUACAAAAGUUACAAAUUUAAAAGUACAAGAAAAUCAUAUAAAAAGUCCCUCAAAUUCUAGUCCAUGCUCAAAUUUUAUAAUUCCCUGUAAUAAAAAUAGGAAAAAAAAAAAUCUAUUUUCCUUAAAAGUAAUUCGUGACAAAUGAGGCAAGCAAAAUAGAAAAGACCAAAUGCUUAAAAGUUCGUAUUUUGCUUAAUUGGGGGUGGGAUUUAUAGGCACUGACCACGAGGGGUUUAUGUUUCCGGCGUGUACACAAACGUUAACAAGUACGACGUUGAAGCAGAGUGUGUUAAGGUUCUGACCUUAAUUACUUCCCAAACUUGUACUUCUCUCAAAACGGUACACAUGGUUUCUUGAUUUUUCAUGUCUUUAUCUUUAUAUACAUCGAUAAUUUCUUGAUUUUUAUAUAUCUAUAUCUGCCGUUCUGAUGAAUGUCUGUAUGUAUAGACACAUUAUUUCUUGAUUUUCAUGUCUCUAGCUUUAUAUGUCAUUCUGUUGUUUAUGUAUGUAUAAACCGAGACUGUCCUUGCAUGUGCAUCUACAUUUUAGUUGACACUUUCUAGAUGGAGCUGAUUAUUCCUUGUACUCGAUGGUUUGAGCUGAUAUUCUUGUCCUUGGUUCCGAAGGGUCGAGGUGUUCGAGCCUCUAUUAAGACAAGUGUGUGCCGGAGUGUGCCGGAGUGAACUUAGUAACUCUCAUUCUUAGAUGUGGAUGUGUCGGGGUAUAUAUGUGUGUUUAAAAUGAAUUGCAGAAUAUAUAACACUGCUAUUAAAAUGUAUGUAUGGGUUCCUUAUUGUGGACCACAGACUGUUAUAGAAGAUUCAUGUGUCAAAAAACAAGAACGAUUAUUAGUUCUUUAGUCAUGGAUGGAAGAGUCAUUUUUUACUAUAUAGGUCAUUGGCUAAUGGAAUAUUGCUGCCAAGAUAUGCAAAUCUGAGGAGAAAUAAUGACAAAAUUAACAGAUUUUGGAAGACGUUAAAAUAUCUAUAUCAAUCCUGCAAAAAAAACCAAUUUUACCUUUAUAGUAAGAAGAAGAGAUAAGUAGAGAGAACUCAGAGAAGAGAUAAGCACAAGGAGAGAAGAGAUAAGAGUAAGACAUAAGUCGUUAUCUUUGCCGCCGCCGUCAUCGGAGAUGGAGAGAAGUCGCCGUUGUCGUCGGAGGAGGAGCGUGUGCGUUUCUGUGUCUUCUUUCCAGUUGCAAAAAGGUCAGCCCCUUUCGGUUUGGGGAUAGAUCGUAACUGGGUUUGUAUAAAUUCUGUGUUUUACUUUCCUAUUUUUAAAGUCAUGUGAAAUUACCUUUUCUGCCCCUCCCGCACCGCAAUUGGCGCCCCCCUGCGUAUCGGAUCAGUGGAACGUGUCGAUACGCCACUUGGUGCACCGCGGCACACCCCCGCACCGGUCCGUAUCCCAUACGUGAUACUCCACCCAUGUGGAGUAUCCCUGCUUUCCAGCUUAUUAUCCAUCUCGUUAUAUGUUUCUUACAGUUGUUUCUAACCCCGAUAUUAUAAAUUGCUUUCAAUAAAUAAAGUAGUCGAGCGGAUUUUAUUUUUUUUGAAUUGUGGCGUUCCUCUUCCUAGUAACUAUUACAAAGGAUAUGGACCGCCAGAAUGCUGCAGUGAAUCCAGUCUAAGUGAAACCAUUCGGGUUCAUAUUUUGUGAACUACAGGGAAAGAAAGAAGAGGCGGAGAGGUUAAAUGUAGAUGAGAAUAUAUUGUUUGAUAUUUUUAUCAUGUAGGGAUUAACGGGUUAACUGUUAAGAAGUGCUAAAAUUUUGACGUGACCAGAAGGAAAAAGGAUAAUGUACCCUCCACUUUGGAAGGUUUCCUUGAAUUUUUUUUUAUCUUAUGAGAAAGUCCAGUUAUGUUAAUGUGGUCGUAGACUCAUAGUAGGCGACUAUUGUUUCCACUAAUUAGAUUCACUUACUUUAUAAAUCAGCUGGUUUAUAGCUUAUGAAAUUCUGAAAGAAUGUUUGAAGCUUCAUGAGGGACUUAUUGUGGUUUAUUAUGAUCAAGUACUCAAGUAUUUAACUAUAAAAGGAAUACAAAGCUCAUAUAGAAAAAAUCAUAUAGCUAACCUUUGACAGGGUUUCUUACACUGAAAGAAGCUUCAAUAAAAUUGUGUAUAUCUUAACUUAGUAACUUACGAUAAGGGAUUGUGCUGUUAUUUUUGCAAAUUGAUUAUAGAUUUCUUUCACUAUCAUCUUCGUGUUCAAUUCUUUAGUUUGCUAUUUCUGUUUUGGCUUACUUAAAUGUGCAGCUUUGAGUAUAGUUUUUUUUUUUUUUGGGGGGGGGGGGGGUUGACAAAUCAAAUUGUUCAAGGCAGCUUUCAAUAUUUUGAAUUUAGUGAGGCCAAAACUGUGCUUUGAAAGAUUGAUAUAAAUUGAUAAUAGUAGAUAUCCAAGUUCACAUGUGAACUAACCCUACUGUAAACAUAGCCGCGUCUCCCUGAGCCUGAGGCAACUACUCUAUGUUUUACUGCAACUGCGUACUUGAAUUUAACGAUUUCUGACUUCGUAUAAAUUGGAGCUUACUGAUUUCACCUGUUUCCUUUUUUCUUUUUUGCUGAUCGCACGUUCCUUUUAUAGGUUUAAAAUUAUGAAGAGGGCAAUGCCAUUAGAUGAUCAGAUGAACAUAUCUUCCGAUGAGUCCUUAUCUUCUGAACCAGACAUUGCAGAGUUGGCUGGCAAGUUUGUUGAGGACAUACCAAUUGGUCAACCAACUGACAUUGUUAUGACAACUGGUAAUUGUUUUCCGUACCCAUUAUACCAAAGCUUAAUAUAAUUACUUCCAUUACUCUUUAAGGUCUUAGCGUAAAUGUAUAUCUUCUAUCUAAACUGAUUAGCUCUUUAAGUAAAUUUGAGGUAUAAAGAAGUGAAAAGAAAGCCUGAAUGUGGGUUGUGGGUACCGGGUGCACAGUACGUAAUUUGGCAACUCUUUAAAUAUAGGGUUUCGGGUAUGAGGGUACACGACGAAUGUUAAAAUAAUACAAGUAUAUCAUAGAUUUGAUUCAAAAGUUGCAAUUUGAUUAAAUUAGACAGUCAGAUACAUACUCAUCAUCCUUAUUAUACAAGACAUAAUACUAAACACAAUUUUAAAAAUUGUUAUAUUAAAUCUGAAGGUGUUAUUGGGAUAAUUUAGUGGGUUAGGGUUAAAGAAGCAGAAAUGAAAACAAGAUGAAAACCAAGGAUCAAAAUUUUGACUUUACACAUUACUAUUCCUAAAGUUAUAGAAAAUUAAAGAGGUGAAGUGGAACUGUGAAAGCGGACCAGGUUGCGGGCCUGAAAUAGAUUUUUUUCCCCAGUCAAUCAUCAUUAUAUCAUCACAUGGUCCACUGUCAAAUACCCUCUAAUUUUAUCCUCAGUCUGGCUUCUAUAUCUUCACAUGCCCCUCUUUUUACUGUCAUUUGAAUUGCAGAAAAUGGUGUCUUUAGAAGUGCCCAAGCGUACCAAGAUUAUAUGAUGCAGCUGCCAAUCCCAACCAAACGUGGUGCUAUCAUUCCAUUUACCUCGUGGAGUGGAUUUGGUGAUUCUACGAAACAAUUAUACAAUCAGCCUCUGCAUUACCUCACAAAUGUCUACCUGAAGCAGCUGGACCGAAACAGGAUUGGUGCUGAUGAUGCUAACAAAAGACUUGAUACUAUUAUUCAUCCAGCCAAAGCUGAAGUUUUCCUCUGGAUGACGGAACAAAUUCACAGGCUC